This 253-nucleotide ribosomal RNA is filed under the name uncultured bacterium. RNAcentral's name for it is "partial 16S ribosomal RNA". It matches the Rfam family "Bacterial small subunit ribosomal RNA", at positions 524 to 776 of the family's 1533-position model. The record is from RNAcentral.
UACGGAGGGUGCGAACGUUGUCCGGAAUCACUGGGCGUAAAGCGCAUGUAGGUGGCUUGGUAAGUGGAUGAUUAAAUCCCGACGCUUAACGUCGGACGGGUUGUCCAUACUGCCAGGCUUGAGGAGAGUAGGGGUAAGCGGAACUUUAGGUGUAGGAGUGAAAUCCGUAGAUAUCUAAAGGAACACCAAUGGCGAAGGCAGCUUACUGGACUCUAUCUGACACUGAGAUGCGAAAGCGUGGGGAGCGAACGGG